This is a long non-coding RNA of Ctenopharyngodon idella (grass carp), 1200 nucleotides long. RefSeq lists it as uncharacterized. The record is from RefSeq and is a predicted model, not a curated record. The transcript has 3 exons. Lineage: Eukaryota; Metazoa; Chordata; Actinopteri; Cypriniformes; Xenocyprididae.
UCGACACAGUCACAAGAAACUGAAAAACAGUUGUGAGAGCAGGAACUGUAUCCUAAGAGAUUUCUCAGACAUAAGCAGAUAUUAUUGGACAUAAGUCUGAAUUACUGACAAUAUACUGAAAACAGAUGGAAAUGUAUUGAAAAAGGUCAUCAGUAUAAUCUGUUUUCAUGUCCAGCAUCUAUGGCAUCACAUAGAGACCAACACCGGCGCAGAUCCAUGGAGGAACCACCUGAUAUGUUAAUGCGAUAUAUCCGCUCAACCAAUCACAGCGCACCAUUCCACGCAGUGUAAACAGUAAUGGCGGUGCUCUGAAUACACCCGGCAUCCUAGUCUUCCUUAUCUGCUUUGUACUUUGUGAUCAACAAAAACAGAAAAAUUAAUCAUUUUGAUGGCAUUGAUGAACCUGUGGUGGUUUCUGCGGUGGGGAAGAAAUGUCAUCGAAAUGUAAUCAUUUAGGUGAGGAGAUUAAGAAGAUGAGGCACUCGAGUUGGGAGCAGGAAAAAUGCCGGCUGUUGCUUGUUCCACGACAGCAUCAAACUUCUGUCACAGUCCCCAAAACUGAAUCAUGAAUAGUUUUUAAAAGCCGUUUUUAAUACCAAUGUACUCCGCAAAUGUGUUUAUUUUAACCGUGCGGUGGUGCCAGAUACUCUUUAAUCGGUAAUGACAAACAGAGACAUAAUUAAUUUAUAACAUAAACAAGAUGACUCGUUGAAUUCAUUUUAGGAGCGACAAUUGAAUGUAUUUUUAGUCAAAUGCCUGAAUAUAAGAUUAGUACUGACAAAGUUCAGAGGUUGUCAUAUAUGUGAAUCAACUUACUUUGUUGUGUAUUUUCAAUAUGAAAAAUAACUUUUAUAUUGAUGGAUUAAUUGCAUUUUGAAAAAAAACGUGUCAUGGAUUUAUUGUAUUUUGGGGAAAAAAUAAUCAGUUUUCAUAAUAAACCUUUUAAAAUCAACAUGUAGAUUUGAAUUUUUAAUGUUUUUAUAACCAAAAGAUGCUAUGUGAAAGUUUGAAACAGAAAAUAGUGGUUUUCAUCUUGCCGCUUUCUUGGUAAAGAAAACACCUUUUUACUCAAAUUAAUCAAAAUGGAUUUAUAGCGUUUUGGAACCAAACUCUUCGUAUAUUUGUGUGUGUGUAUAUAUAUAUAUAUAUAUAUAUUGUGUAUAUAUAUAUAUAUAUUGUGUGUGUGUUGUGUGUUUGUUU